This 167-nucleotide ribosomal RNA is filed under the name Pleuromamma robusta. Its description in RNAcentral is "partial 18S ribosomal RNA". It matches the Rfam family "Eukaryotic small subunit ribosomal RNA", at positions 1662 to 1828 of the family's 1831-position model. The record is from RNAcentral. Lineage: Eukaryota; Metazoa; Arthropoda; Copepoda; Calanoida; Metridinidae.
GUACACACCGCCCGUCGCUACUACCGAUUGAACGUUUUAGUGAGGUCCACGGACUGUUUGCAGAGCGGAUUAUUCUGCCCUGCUGGCGGGAAGUCGACCAAACUUGAGCGUUUAGAGGAAGUAAAAGUCGUAACAAGGUUUCCGUAGGUGAACCUGCAGAAGGAUCA